This 74-nucleotide transfer RNA is filed under the name Marmota monax (woodchuck). It matches the Rfam family "tRNA". From Rfam's summary of the family: Transfer RNA (tRNA) molecules are approximately 80 nucleotides in length. The record is from Rfam by way of RNAcentral. Lineage: Eukaryota; Metazoa; Chordata; Mammalia; Rodentia; Sciuridae.
GGGGAUAUAGCUCAGUUGGUCGAGUGCUUGUGUUGCACACACAAAGGCCCUGGGUUCAAUCCCCAGCACCACCC